AUGGCGGCGGCGGCUGGCGAUGCGGCGACGAGGCGAAAGACGGCGUGCGUCACCGGCGGCAGCGGGUACAUCGCGUCGGCGCUGGUCAAGAUGCUGCUGGAGAGGGGCUACGCCGUGAAGACCACCGUCAGAAACCCCGAUGACGAGGAGAAGACCGCGCAUCUAAAGGCCCUGGCAGCGCUCGGCCCCUUGGAGGUCUUCCGCGCCGAUCUGAGUGAAGAGGGCAGCUUCGAUCACGCCGUCGCCGGCUGCGACUACGCCUUCCUCGUCGCCGCUCCGGUGGCACUCAUGCCAGAGAAUCCCGAGAAAGACGUGAUCGAGCCGGCCGUCAACGGAACCCUGAACGUGAUGAGGUCGUGCGUGAGAGCCGGGACGGUGAAGCGAGUGGUCCUCACAUCGUCGGUGGCGGCGGUGUCCAGCCGGCCGCUGGAAGGCGACGGCCAUGUCCUUGACGAGGAAUCCUGGUCCGACGUGGAAUUCCUCAGAUCAACAAAGACCGGUCCUUGGGCGUACUCUGUCUCGAAGGUGCUUGUGGAGAAGGCGACGUGCGCGUUCGCGGAGAAGGGCAUCAGCCUGGUCACCGUGUGCCCCGCCGUGACGGUGGGCGAGGCGCCGGCGGCGAACGACCUCACCAGCCUCAGCAUCAUCCUCUCCCUGCUAUCCGGGGAUGAUGCGUACGCCGGCGCCCUGGAACACAUCGAGAGGGCGACGGGGUCGAUCCCAAUGGUGCACAUCGACGACGUCUGCCGAGCGGAGAUACUCGUCGCGGAGGAGGAGGCCGCGUCGGGGAGGUACAUCGUCUGCGGGCUCAACCCCACCGUCGUCGAGCUUGCCCGCUUCUUGCCUGCCAAGUACCCGCAGUACAAGGUCAAUACACAUAGGUUCAGAGAUCUCCCCGAGAAGCCGAGAGUGUGCAUUUCUUCGGCGAAGCUCGUCAAGGAAGGGUUUGAGUACAAGUACAAGAACGUGGAGGAGAUAUACGACAGCGUCGUGGAGUAUGGAAGGGCCUUGGGAAUACUUCCAUACUAA
Molecule: ribosomal RNA, 1029 nt
Filed under: Triticum aestivum (bread wheat)
Lineage: Eukaryota; Viridiplantae; Streptophyta; Magnoliopsida; Poales; Poaceae
Description: partial small subunit ribosomal RNA
Source: RNAcentral